GAUGAAGAACGUAGCGAAAUGCGAUACUUGGUGUGAAUUGCAGAAUCCCGUGAACCAUCGAGUCUUUGAACGCAAGUUGCGCCCGAAGCCAUUAGGCCGAGGGCACGCCUGCCUGGGCGUCACACGUCGUUGCCCCCCCAUCUACUCCUUCGGGAUUGCGAGGGGCGGAUGAUGGCCUCCCGUGCGCCUCGUCGCGCGGUUGGCAUAAAUGCCAAGACCUCGGCGACGCACGCCACGACAAUCGGUGGUUGCGAAACCUCGGUUGCCCGUCGUGUGCGGUCGUCGCGCAUCGAGGGCUCGAAAAAAUUGCCGGGCUCCGGCUCGGCUUUCAACGCGACCCCAGGUCAGGCGGGGUUACCCGCUGAAUUUAAGCAUAUCAAUAAGCGGAGGA
This 391-nucleotide unclassified non-coding RNA is filed under the name soil metagenome. RNAcentral's name for it is "partial contains 5.8S ribosomal RNA, internal transcribed spacer 2, and large subunit ribosomal RNA". The stretch from base 1 to 122 matches the Rfam family "5.8S ribosomal RNA", at positions 35 to 154 of the family's 154-position model. The record is from RNAcentral.